RNAcentral lists this ribosomal RNA (251 nucleotides) under uncultured prokaryote. RNAcentral's name for it is "partial 16S rRNA". It matches the Rfam family "Bacterial small subunit ribosomal RNA", at positions 525 to 775 of the family's 1533-position model. The record is from RNAcentral.
ACGGAGGAUGCAAGCGUUAUCCGGAUUCAUUGGGCUUAAAGGGUGCGCAGGCGGAAUGCUAAGUCAGUGGUGAAAUCUAACGGCUUAACCGGGAAACUGCCAUUGAUACUGUCAUACUUGAGUACAGGUGAAGUGGGUGGAAUGUGUCAUGUAGCGGUGAAAUGCUUAGAUAUUACACAGAACACCGAUAGCGAAGGCAGCUUACUGAGCUGUAACUGACGCUCAUGCACGAAAGCGUGGGGAUCAAACAG